GACCUGAGAAAGGAGAAGACGGAGGAAAAAUUCGCUGGGUUUAGCGGUUAAGAAAGCAAACAUAAUUGAAUAAAACUUUGAAAAUAGUUUGAACACUCUUCAAAUCAGUUGAAAGAGGGAAGGUAUUGAGUGGAUUUAGUUGUUAUUUUACUCCUGUGACGAUCGAUGGGUUGAUUACAUCGUUGUAUUGCUGGAAAGUGAAUAUUUGGACGUGGUCAGGUUUUUUUCCCUGAGUGGAGACUGAUUUUCUUUGAUGGCGAGCCAACCGAUUCGAACACUGGAAAAGAAAGAAGAGAAUUCAUCCGACAGGACCAGGAGAGUAUCGUGAUUCAAUUUUUUCAUUUUUUUCCCUGCUCAAGGACAGUCUGCUUUCUUCUGGAAAUUCACCACGGCGUAAUUCAGAUCCUCAGCAGAUGUGAUCAAGAUCUUAGAGUCAGAGAGACAGAGAACUCUUGGAUGCAGAAUCAGCAUCUGUCAAAGACAAACAUCAAAUCAACCUCGACCUCGAAUUUCUCUAUUUUUCUGAUUUGUAGUUGUUUCAGCAGGAGGUUUUCAUGAAGUUGUUUUGAGAGAGAAAAGUUUGCAAUGUGCAACAUGGAAACAUAGACAUUGUUUUAUAAUGAAAGUAAAAGUCUGUAAAAAUGCAAAGGAGCAGGAGUUUCACUGUGAGACCGACACCUCCUCCAGAGAGUGACGAUCACUGACAGAAUCACAGUGAAGAUCAGAAGAAGAAGCAGAGACACACUGAUGAUCAGAGAAGAGCCUGAACACACCAGAGAUUCACUCAAUCACUCUGAAGAUCUAAACUGACUGACUGACUGACAGAAAUCUGUGCGUUUGUACCCGUUACAGGAGACACAGAUGAGAUCAGUGGAGGUUCAGCUGAUGAGAAAGAUGAUGGUGAUGAUCUGAGUUUGUCUCUAAAUCACAGAAAAGGCAGUGUCACUAACAAGAAAAUAAAGUGUUUUCUUCUUACUUCAGUAACCUUUUCUCAAAAACUCUGAUGUCUUUUACACAUUGUUGACCAAGCAGAUAUGUUUCACUCACGAAACCACAAAGUGCCAACUUGUGCUUUUCAGCAACUUUAAACUCUCAGGAAGAGUUUUAAGUAAAUGUAAGCGAUGAUCCACGGCUAGGUGUGGAUGAAACGAUUAUAGCCAAAGAAACUCCUGAUGCAAAGCAGAAAAUCCUA
Onychostoma macrolepis is the source of this 1192-nucleotide long non-coding RNA. RefSeq lists it as uncharacterized. The transcript has 3 exons. NCBI's taxonomy places the organism in Eukaryota, Metazoa, Chordata, Actinopteri, Cypriniformes, Cyprinidae. The record is from RefSeq and is a predicted model, not a curated record.